Molecule: ribosomal RNA, 253 nt
Filed under: uncultured bacterium
Lineage: Bacteria
Description: partial 16S ribosomal RNA
Rfam family: Bacterial small subunit ribosomal RNA
Source: RNAcentral
UACGUAGGGUGCAAGCGUUAAUCGGAAUUACUGGGCGUAAAGCGUGCGUAGGCGGUUAUGUAAGUCAGAUGUGAAAUGCCCGGGCUUAACCUGGGAACUGCAUUUGUGACUGCAUGGCUAGAGUUUGGCAGAGGGGGGUAGAAUUCCACGUGUAGCAGUGAAAUGCGUAGAUAUGUGGAGGAAUACCGAUGGCGAAGGCAGCCCCCUGGGUCAAGACUGACGCUCAUGCACGAAAGCGUGGGGAGCAAACAGG